UCGGUGGCGUGGUGUGCGGCGCCGAGCAUUUGAUGUCUCAAGUGCGUCAUUACCGCGAAAUCAAUGGUGCCUCGCUGGAUCCUUUUUCGGCGUAUCUGAU
This 100-nucleotide transfer RNA is filed under the name compost metagenome. Its description in RNAcentral is "tRNA-Leu". The record is from RNAcentral.